UUACGGCCUGGGCUACACACGUGCUACAAUGGUCGGUACAAAGGGUUAGCCAAGCCGCGAGGUGGAGCUAAUCCCAUAAAACCGAAUCGUAGUCCGGAUCGCAGUCUGCAACUCGACUGCGUGAAGUCGGAAUCGCUAGUAAUCGUGAAUCAGAAUGUCACGGUGAAUACGUUCCCGGGCCUU
This 183-nucleotide ribosomal RNA is filed under the name uncultured Pseudomonas sp. RNAcentral's name for it is "partial 16S ribosomal RNA". It matches the Rfam family "Bacterial small subunit ribosomal RNA", at positions 1202 to 1382 of the family's 1533-position model. Lineage: Bacteria; Pseudomonadati; Pseudomonadota; Gammaproteobacteria; Pseudomonadales; Pseudomonadaceae. The record is from RNAcentral.